GUGGUGGCUUUGACCAGCAGUGGGCAGGUCU
Molecule: non-coding RNA, 31 nt
Filed under: Rhizochromulina marina
Lineage: Eukaryota; Dictyochophyceae; Rhizochromulinales
Source: RNAcentral